This 252-nucleotide ribosomal RNA is filed under the name uncultured bacterium. RNAcentral's name for it is "partial 16S ribosomal RNA". It matches the Rfam family "Bacterial small subunit ribosomal RNA", at positions 524 to 776 of the family's 1533-position model. The record is from RNAcentral.
UACGGAGAAUGCGAGCGUUAUCCGGAUUUAUUGGGUUUAAAGGGUGCGUAGGCGGACUGUCAAGUCAGCGGUAAAAUUGAGAGGCUCAACCUCUUCCCGCCGUUGAAACUGGUGGUCUUGAGUGGAUGAGAAGUACGCGGAAUGCGUGGUGUAGCGGUGAAAUGCAUAGAUAUCACGCAGAACUCCGAUUGCGAAGGCAGCGUACCGGCAUCCAACUGACGCUGAGGCACGAAGGCGUGGGGAUCAAACAGG